This 274-nucleotide ribosomal RNA is filed under the name uncultured bacterium. RNAcentral's name for it is "partial 16S ribosomal RNA". It matches the Rfam family "Bacterial small subunit ribosomal RNA", at positions 523 to 796 of the family's 1533-position model. The record is from RNAcentral.
AUACGGAGGGAGCAAGCGUUGUUCGGAAUCACUGGGCGUAAAGCGAGUGUAGGUUGUCAGGUAAGUAGGAUGUGAAAGCCCGGGGCUCAACCCCGGAAUUGCAUUCUAAACUGCCUGGCUAGAGUCCCGGAGAGGGAGGUGGAAUUCCGAGUGUAGAGGUGAAAUUCGUAGAUAUUCGGAGGAACACCAGAGGCGAAGGCGACCUCCUGGACGGUGACUGACACUGAGACUCGAAAGCGUGGGGAGCAAACAGGAUUAGAAACCCCGGUAGUCC